CCUACGGGUGGCAGCAGUGGGGAAUAUUGCACAAUGGGGGAAACCCUGAUGCAGCGACGCCGCGUGAAGGAAGAAGUAUUUCGGUAUGUAAACUUCUAUCAGCAGGGAAGAAAAUGACGGUACCUGACUAAGACGCCCCGGCUAACUACGUGCCAGCAGCCGCGGUAAUACGUAGGGGGCAAGCGUUAUCCGGAUUUACUGGGUGUAAGGGGAGCGUAGGCGGUUUAGCAAGUCAGAAGUGAAAGCCCGGGGCUCAACUCCGGGACUGCUUUUGAAACUGUUGAACUAGAUGGCAGGAGAGGUAAGUGGAAUUCCUAGUGUAGCGGUGAAAUGCGUAGAUAUUAGGAGGAACACCAGUGGCGAAGGCGGCUUACUGGACUGUAAAUGACGCUGAGGCUCGAAAGCGUGGGGAGCAAACAGGAUUAGAUACCCUUGUAGUC
Molecule: ribosomal RNA, 440 nt
Filed under: uncultured bacterium
Lineage: Bacteria
Description: partial 16S ribosomal RNA
Rfam family: Bacterial small subunit ribosomal RNA
Source: RNAcentral